GACGAACGCUGGCGGCGUGCUUAACACAUGCAAGUCGAACGGAAAGGCCCCUUUGGGGGUACUCGAGUGGCGAACGGGUGAGUAACACGUGAGUAACCUGCCCUUGACUUCGGGAUAACUUCAGGAAACUGGGGCUAAUACCGGAUAGGAAUCCUUGCUGCAUGGUGGGGGUUGGAAAGCUUCGGCGGUUUUGGAUGGACUCGCGGCUUAUCAGCUUGUUGGUGGGGUAGUGGCUUACCAAGGCUUUGACGGGUAGCCGGCCUGAGAGGGCGACCGGCCACAUUGGGGCUGGGAUACGGCCCAGACUCCUACGGGAGGCAGCAGUGGGGAAUGUUGCACAAUGGGCGGAAGCCUGAUGCAGCAACGCCGCGUGCGGGAUGACGGCCUUCGGGUUGUAAGCCGCUUUCAGCAGGGGCGAAGCUUGUGGUGACGGUACCUGCAGAAGAAGCACCGGCUAACUACGUG
RNAcentral lists this ribosomal RNA (465 nucleotides) under uncultured bacterium. RNAcentral describes it as "partial 16S ribosomal RNA". It matches the Rfam family "Bacterial small subunit ribosomal RNA", at positions 28 to 507 of the family's 1533-position model. The record is from RNAcentral.